AUGAACGCUGGCGGCGUGCCUAAUACAUGCCAGUCGAGCGAACAGACGAGGAGCUUGCUCCUCUGACGUUAGCGGCGGACGGGUGAGUAACACGUGGAUAACCUACCUAUAAGACUGGGAUAACUUCGGGAAACCGGAGCUAAUACCGGAUAAUAUAUUGAACCGCAUGGUUCAAUAGUGAAAGACGGUUUUGCUGUCACUUAUAGAUGGAUCCGCGCCGCAUUAGCUAGUUGGUAAGGUAACGGCUUACCAAGGCAACGAUGCGUAGCCGACCUGAGAGGGUGAUCGGCCACACUGGAACUGAGACACGGUCCAGACUCCUACGGGAGGCAGCAGUAGGGAAUCUUCCGCAAUGGGCGAAAGCUUGACGGAGCAACGCCGCGUGAGUGAUGAAGGUCUUCGGAUCGUAAAACUCUGUUAUUAGGGAAGAACAAAUGUGUAAGUAACUAUGCACGUCUUGACGGUACCUAAUCUGAAAGCCACGGCUAACUACGUG
This 496-nucleotide ribosomal RNA is filed under the name uncultured bacterium. Its description in RNAcentral is "partial 16S ribosomal RNA". It matches the Rfam family "Bacterial small subunit ribosomal RNA", at positions 29 to 507 of the family's 1533-position model. The record is from RNAcentral.